GAAUCUUCCACAAUGGACGAAAGUCUGAUGGAGCAAUGCCGCGUGAGUGAAGAAGGUUUUCGGAUCGUAAAGCUCUGUUGUAAGGGAAGAACACGUACGGGAGUAACUGCCCGUACCUUGACGGUACCUUAUUAGAUAGCCACGGCUACCUACGGGCCAGCAGCCGCGGUAAUACGUAGGUGGCAAGCGUUGUCCGGAUUUAUUGGGCGUAAAGCGAGCGCAGGUGGUUUCUUAAGUCUGAUGUGAAAGCCCACGGCUCAACCGUGGAAGGUCAUUGGAAACUGGGGAACUUGAAUGCAGAAGAGGAGAGUGGAAUUCCAUGUGUAGCGGUGAAAUGCGUAGAUAUAUGGAGGAACACCAGUGGCGAAGGCGACUCUCUGGUCUGUUAUUGACACUGAGGCUCGAAAGCGUGGGGAGCAAACA
RNAcentral lists this ribosomal RNA (423 nucleotides) under uncultured bacterium. Its description in RNAcentral is "bacterial SSU rRNA". It matches the Rfam family "Bacterial small subunit ribosomal RNA", at positions 359 to 774 of the family's 1533-position model. The record is from RNAcentral.